This 397-nucleotide ribosomal RNA is filed under the name uncultured Filosa. Its description in RNAcentral is "partial small subunit ribosomal RNA". It matches the Rfam family "Eukaryotic small subunit ribosomal RNA", at positions 30 to 432 of the family's 1831-position model. The record is from RNAcentral. Lineage: Eukaryota; Cercozoa.
GCUUGUCUCAAAGAUUAAGCCAUGCAUGUCUAAGUAUAAACAAAUCUAUACUGUGAAACUGCGAAUGGCUCAUUAUAUCAGUUAUAGUUUAUUUGAUGGUUCUUACUACUUGGAUAACCGUAGUAAUUCUAGAGCUAAUACAUGCAUCAACCCCCGACUUUUGAAGGGGUGUAUUUAUUAGAUAAAAAACCAAUCCGGCAACGGUGCUUGGUGAUUCAUAAUAACUGUUCGAAGCGCACGGCCUCGCGCCGGCGCUAGUUCAUUCAAAUUUCUGCCCUAUCAGCUUUCGACGGUAGUGUAGUGGACUACCGUGGCGCUAACGGGUGACGGAGAAUUAGGGUUCGGUUCCGGAGAGGGAGCCUGAGAAACGGCUACCACAUCCAAGGAAGGCAGCAGG